UAUGGAGAUGAAACGGGGUGUGAGUGUGAUUAACAGCUGCAGAGCUGCACUCAACACAGCCUCUCUGUAAUGUUUAUGCAAAUCUGCAUCUCCUCUUGUAAUAUUAGCAGCGUUCUGAUCUAGAGAGGAAACACUUCUCAUUAGUCUUCCUUCAACACAAACAUGUUUGCUUCAGCUCCACUGCUGCUGCUGGCUCUCGCCCCCUAUGUGUUCUGUGCUACUGAGCUCAUCCAGCCAGACUCACUGCUUAUAAAGCCAGGAGAGACUUUAACCAUCACCUGUAAAGUGUCUGGAGCUUCUAUCACUGAUAGCAGCAGCCACUAUGGAACAGCUUGGAUUCGACAACCUGCAGGAAAAGCUUUAGAAUGGAUCAAUUUAAUCUAUUUUACUGGGAGUAUUAUUAAUAAAGAUUCACUUAAAGACAAGUUUGUGGUCUCUCGAGACACUUCCAGUAACUCUGUGACCUUACGGGGACAGAACAUGCAGACUGAAGACACAGCUGUGUAUUACUGCGCUCGUGAUCCACACAGUGACACGACAAGCUGCAGUGCUGCACAAAAACCUCAUCACAAUUCACUUCUUUAAUUAAAUAACAACUAC
Tachysurus fulvidraco (yellow catfish) is the source of this 600-nucleotide non-coding RNA. Lineage: Eukaryota; Metazoa; Chordata; Actinopteri; Siluriformes; Bagridae. The record is from the annotation of a RefSeq genome assembly.